AGAGUUUGAUCCUGGCUCAGAACGAACGCUGGCGGCAUGCCUAACACAUGCAAGUCGAACGAGACCUUCGGGUCUAGUGGCGCACGGGUGCGUAACGCGUGGGAACCUGCCUUUAGGUUCGGAAUAACUCAGAGAAAUUUGAGCUAAUACCGGAUAAUGUCUUCGGACCAAAGAUUUAUCGCCUUUAGAUGGGCCCGCGUAAGAUUAGCUAGUUGGUGGGGUAAAGGCCUACCAAGGCGACGAUCUUUAGCUGGUCUGAGAGGAUGAUCAGCCACACUGGGACUGAGACACGGCCCAGACUCCUACGGGAGGCAGCAGUGGGAAUAUUGGACAAUGGGCGAAAGCCUGAUCCAGCAAUGCCGCGUGAGUGAUGAAGGCCUUAGGGUUGUAAAGCUCUUUUACCCGAGAUGAUAAUGACAGUAUCGGGAGAAUAAGCUCCGGCUAACUCCGUG
Molecule: ribosomal RNA, 452 nt
Filed under: uncultured bacterium
Lineage: Bacteria
Description: bacterial SSU rRNA
Rfam family: Bacterial small subunit ribosomal RNA
Source: RNAcentral